CAGCCGCAUGGAAAGCAUAAUGGAGGAUAACUCAAACACUGAGUCCAAGUCAACUGAGCAACUUUCCGACGUCUGGUAAGUU
Sander lucioperca (pikeperch) is the source of this 82-nucleotide long non-coding RNA. RefSeq lists it as uncharacterized. The transcript has 3 exons. The record is from RefSeq and is a predicted model, not a curated record. NCBI's taxonomy places the organism in Eukaryota, Metazoa, Chordata, Actinopteri, Perciformes, Percidae.